This 468-nucleotide ribosomal RNA is filed under the name uncultured bacterium. RNAcentral describes it as "partial 16S ribosomal RNA". It matches the Rfam family "Bacterial small subunit ribosomal RNA", at positions 28 to 507 of the family's 1533-position model. The record is from RNAcentral.
GACGAACGCUGGCGGCGUGCUUAACACAUGCAAGUCGAACGGAAAGACCCUGCUUUUGUGGGGUGCUCGAGCGGCGAACGGGUGAGUAACACGUGAGUAACCUGCCCUUGACUUUGGGAUAACUUCAGGAAACUGGGGCUAAUACCGGAUAGGAGCUCCUGCUGCAUGGUGGGGGUUGGAAAGUUUCGGCGGUUGGGGAUGGACUCGCGGCUUAUCAGCUUGUUGGUGGGGUAGUGGCUUACCAAGGCUUUGACGGGUAGCCGGCCUGAGAGGGUGACCGGGCACAUUGGGACUGAGAUACGGCCCAGACUCCUACGGGAGGCAGCAGUGGGGAAUAUUGCACAAUGGGCGGAAGCCUGAUGCAGCAACGCCGCGUGCGGGAUGACGGCCUUCGGGUUGUAAACCGCUUUCGCCUGUGACGAAGCGUGAGUGACGGUAAUGGGUAAAGAAGCACCGGCUAACUACGUG